Long non-coding RNA from Hevea brasiliensis (rubber tree), 1022 nucleotides. RefSeq lists it as uncharacterized. The record is from RefSeq and is a predicted model, not a curated record. The transcript is spliced from 3 exons. NCBI's taxonomy places the organism in Eukaryota, Viridiplantae, Streptophyta, Magnoliopsida, Malpighiales, Euphorbiaceae.
CUCUCCUUCCCUCCCUUCUUCUUCUUCCUUUCUCCGGUGACCGGCCGGCGACGUCCCAAGCAGCUCCCCACCGGCCGGCGACCCUCCGACGACGUCCAGGACCACCAGAAACGGCGGCAAGAGAGGGAGAGAUAGAGAAAACGCGCGCACAGUGGGCAGCGGCUUUCCGGCGCGAUUCCGGCUUCAUCCGACGUCCGAUCGAGGCGAUUCCGGUGGCGUUGGAAAGCUUGUUCCGAGAGCUUUCUUUUGAUACCAAUUUUGAAGCAAAUGGAGGUCGGAUGAGUGAGAUAUGGAGGAGAGAAGUUUCGGGUUUUUCAAGCUUUUUCGUCAGAUCUACGACGAUCCGACCGUUGGAUCGACGAUCCGAGACCACAUAUGGACUGAGGAAGAGGAGAGGAACAUGGUGGUAUGAUCAGAUUCGGCAAAUGUCGCCGGCGACCGGCGGCUGGCCACAGUGCGCGGUGGUGCCGGCGGUGGCCCGGUGAGCUAUGGAGAUGGUUCAACUUCCAGAGGCUUCCUCAUAAAUUUUUGAAAUUUUUGAGACACAGAUAAACUUCGGGUGAUCGAGAUCAACUAUUUUCCUGCAUCCAGCAGCCACAAUAGUCGACGGUGUACUGCUACAGGAGGAGACAUUUUUCAGAAUAACCUGUCCCUUUCCUCUCAGGUUAUGAAAAGAUUACUUAAUUAUAUUAUUAUUCUCUAAAUUUGUAAAUUUAGGACUCCGCAUGUGCUAGUAGUAGCAUUAAGCCUAUCAGAGACUGUAUGAAUUCAAGUUUUCAUAUUAAUAAAUGAAAAGAAAAAUUUUUUAUGAGUUUUAAAUGGUUAUAAAUGAGGUAAUAGGGUUGAGCUGGGCUCCCCUGAUUUUAGUUUUCUGAAAAGUUCUGGGCUAAGUUGGCCCAAAAUGAAAUUAUAACAGUUUAAUUUAAAUUAUCUUAUAUGCAUAUUGGGUCUAAAUUGUGGGCCUGGUUAUGGAUUUGAGGAAUAGUUAGGCUUACUACGGGCCUCGGGGGCUUUAAGUCGCC